RNAcentral lists this long non-coding RNA (221 nucleotides) under Daucus carota (carrot). Its description in RNAcentral is "long non-coding RNA (DCAR_LNC002863)". The record is from RNAcentral. Lineage: Eukaryota; Viridiplantae; Streptophyta; Magnoliopsida; Apiales; Apiaceae.
UUUGUAAAAAAGAUUGGGACCAAGCUGCGAAAAGACAACAAGGACUUCAAGAAGAUGACUCGGACGAGGAAGAAGAUCCUUGGAUGUUGAUGGAUACUUCGUCGUCCGAAGGCGGCAAUUCGGCAAAUGAACAAGAAUAAAUAAAAAAUUUCUUUCGUUAUGUAUUUUUUUAUUUAGUUUGUACAAGCGGUUUGUUCCGUUAAAUUUUUUAGAGAGGAGUC